GAUGAACGCUAGCGGGAGGCUUAACACAUGCAAGUCGAGGGGCAGCACGUCUUCGGAUGGUGGCGACCGGCGAACGGGUGCGUAACGCGUAUGCAACCUACCCUUAACAGGAGAAUAGCCCAGAGAAAUUUGGAUUAAUACUCCAUAGUAUUACAGAUUCGCAUGUUUCUGUAAUUAAAGUUCCAACGGUUAAGGAUGGGCAUGCGUGACAUUAGCUUGUUGGUGAGGUAACGGCUCACCAAGGCAACGAUGUCUAGGGGUUCUGAGAGGAUGAUCCCCCACACUGGUACUGAGACACGGACCAGACUCCUACGGGAGGCAGCAGUGAGGAAUAUUGGACAAUGGACGCAAGUCUGAUCCAGCCAUGCCGCGUGAGGAUUAAGGUCCUCUGGAUUGUAAACUUCUUUUAUAAGGGCGAAAAAAGGUCUUUCUAGAUCGUCUGACGGUACCUUAUGAAUAAGCACCGGCUAACUCCGUGCCAGCAGCCGCGGUAAAGUACAGU
Molecule: ribosomal RNA, 502 nt
Filed under: uncultured bacterium
Lineage: Bacteria
Description: bacterial SSU rRNA
Rfam family: Bacterial small subunit ribosomal RNA
Source: RNAcentral